UUGACCAAGACAGUUAGGCGUGUAUAACGUACUGGAAAAUUUCAUCUUUAACACUUGUUUAUUUACAAUGGCGAUGUAUCACACAUUGCGUGCGGGGAUGUGACUCAUGUGGUAACUUGUGAUGAUAGCGAUCAAUAUCACUCCUCUCAAGAAUUAAACGAUGAUGUUAAGGUUGUCAGUUCAAAAUGGCUAGAGAGCUGCUUUAGAAAAAGAAGAAUUCAGGAAACAGAACCGUAUGAAAAACAGAGGAAGGAAAAGAAUUAAUGUUAAAGUGUACUUGGUAGCGAAAUUAAACUUUUUUCUUUUGUUUUUUUA
Pocillopora verrucosa is the source of this 315-nucleotide non-coding RNA. The record is from RefSeq and is a predicted model, not a curated record. NCBI's taxonomy places the organism in Eukaryota, Metazoa, Cnidaria, Anthozoa, Scleractinia, Pocilloporidae.